UGCAACUUAACUGUUGGAAAUCUAGGGAUACUGCUUGUCUUGAGACCGGGAGAGGUUAGAGGAACUCCUAGGGUAGGGGUGAAAUCCUGUAAUCCUAGGGGGACCACCUGUGGCGAAGGCGUCUAACUGGAACGGGCCUGACGGUUAGGGACGAAACCUAAGGGAGCGAGCCGGAUUACAAACCCGGGUAUCCCUAUAAUUAAAUGAUGCUAGUUGAGUGUGGGGGCAUCUACUAGAUGGCCCUGUGUUGUAAGGCAGCCGUUAAACUGGCCGGCUGGUGAGUACGGUCGCCAGGCUCAAACUGAUAUGAAUGCGCGGGGGAGCAACACAAGAGGUGGAGGCUGCGCUUCGAUUGGACUCCACGCCGGAUAAUUCAGCGGGAGCGACAGCAGUAUGAUUGCCAGGUUGAUGACCUUGAUAGACAGAUGAGAGGAGGUGUUUGGCCCCCCGUCACCGACUGCGGGGGGGCGUCCUGUAAAGUCACGCCAUUGCCCACUCUCUUGUUAUCUCGCUGCCAAUGACAUAUCUUUAGGUAUGCUGGGUACACUACACCGCACGCCGCCUGCUAAUAGUGGAAAGAAUGAGAGACGGACGCUGGUCGUAUUUUCCCCAAAACCUCCGGGCUUAACAGGCGACCUAAAAAGGAGACACGAACGAUUGGUCAUCCGAUCCCAGAAAGGCAAAGGCAAUUCCCUCUAAACGUGCUUCUUAAGUUUCGGAUUGAAGGGCUGUCACCUCCGC
Molecule: ribosomal RNA, 741 nt
Filed under: uncultured bacterium
Lineage: Bacteria
Description: bacterial SSU rRNA
Rfam family: Archaeal small subunit ribosomal RNA
Source: RNAcentral